RNAcentral lists this transfer RNA (1238 nucleotides) under Numida meleagris (helmeted guineafowl). RNAcentral describes it as "lncRNA (ENSNMEG00000007574.1)". Lineage: Eukaryota; Metazoa; Chordata; Aves; Galliformes; Numididae. The record is from RNAcentral.
GUCCGAUCCCUUUAACUGAUCUUAAAAGGAUUAUCAUCAUUCAUGGAGGGAUGCCCAACAUGGAACUCAAACCCAUAACCCUGGGAUUAAGAGUCUCAUGCUCUACCAACUGAGCUAGCCGGGCACACUGGACCUGUGGUUGGAGCUGCAUGGUGUGGUGUGGUGCGGCGCGGCUGCAGCAGCCACAGAGAACCCCGGCUCCGUGCUGCUCCACGGCCGCUAGCCCGCUCCCCCUGAACAUCCCCAUGGGCGGAGACAGGGGUUGUACAGUCAAGCCCUGCACUAUCUCUGACUAAUCAGCAUUCUGAGCACGCCUAUAGGUAUGCCCGUCAGUACGCCCAUUGGUCCUGCCCUCUUGCAUCACCGCCUUUUCCGAUGUUACCCCUCCCCCAGGUGAGCCGGGCAGUGCCGCCCCCUCAAGGGGGCCGGGUGGCGCUGACGUGGAUGGUCCGCCCCUUGAUGGGUGGGUACAGCCUGCUCCAGUUUCUGCCCCAGAGACAAUACGUAAUAAAGGAUACUACUCCUGCUGAUACGGAGGCGGAGUCUCGGGAGUCUGUUGUGAGGUGAUUGGCAAAGACGACAGUGGGUGUUGCGGCAGCGGUGGGUGUUGCGACAUGCCUCCCUCGCAUUCCUCCACGAUGAUGGACAUGUGGGUGGCGCUGGACGCAGGGGCGGUUGGCAUGGCCGGCGCCAUUUUGAUUGGAGAGCCGUCUUCAGAGCUCCUAUGAGAAAAACUAUCUCCCGGCUGGCUCUGAUCUCCCAGAUCUAGGGAAUCUCCCGGGAAAAUUCCUGGAUCAGGUCCCAGCCCGAGCAGUAACUUUUUUUCUUCCCUGGCAGCUUUCAAAGCACCAAGAAUCAGCCCCCACGUUUUAAGCUCUGCAGCUUUCUGCAUGGACAUAUCUCUCUGCGCAAGCACCGUCGUGAGGAAACCCCACAUCUGAUAGUUAAGUACUUCGUGGGGGGAGGCAAUUAUGCGUUCUUGUUCUAAACGAGAGAGCACCGCGGCAAUUUCCUUCUCAGAAGGAGAAUUCUUCCCGCAAUAUUCUUUGCAAAAUGAAAACAGUACCUUAACAACUUGUUCCAUGGCUGUGGCUGGCGUCUUCCCUGCCGAUAUACCUCAGGAGGCGUACCCUUUUUCUUGUGCCGCUAAGCUCAAGACUCCAGGUCUUCUGCAAGCGUUCCUUCCCCGCUGCAGACUGUUCCAGAAGCUCACGCGGGCUGCUGGCCAAUCAUAUUGA